RNAcentral lists this ribosomal RNA (473 nucleotides) under Lulesia popinalis. RNAcentral's name for it is "Clitocella popinalis partial large subunit ribosomal RNA". It matches the Rfam family "Eukaryotic large subunit ribosomal RNA", at positions 49 to 514 of the family's 3401-position model. Lineage: Eukaryota; Fungi; Basidiomycota; Agaricomycetes; Agaricales; Entolomataceae. The record is from RNAcentral.
AGCGGAGGAAAAGAAACUAACAAGGAUUCCCCUAGUAACUGCGAGUGAAGCGGGAAGAGCUCAAAUUUAAAAUCUGGUAGUCUUUGGCUGCCCGAGUUGUAAUCUAGAGAAGCGUUAUCCGCGCUGGACCGUGUAUAAGUCUCCUGGAAUGGAGCGUCAUAGAGGGUGAGAAUCCCGUCUUUGACACGGACUACCAGGGCUUUGUGAUGCGCUCUCAAAGAGUCGAGUUGUUUGGGAAUGCAGCUCUAAAUGGGUGGUAAAUUCCAUCUAAAGCUAAAUAUUGGCGAGAGACCGAUAGCGAACAAGUACCGUGAGGGAAAGAUGAAAAGAACUUUGGAAAGAGAGUUAAACAGUACGUGAAAUUGUUGAAAGGGAAACGCUUGAAGUCAGUCACGUUGGCUAGGAAUCAGCCUUGCUUUUGCUUGGUGUAUUUCCUGGUUUUAACGGGUCAGCAUCAAUUUUGACCGGUGGAA